ACAGUGACGCACGGCGUCCAAAUCGCGUUGCCCUGACACCAUCCGAUUGCUACACCUCCCCGAUCGCCGCCGCAGCCUCCUGAUCGCUUCGUCUCCGUAGCGACGGCUCGGCGUCGGCGCUGCCGCCACCAUGGGAAGAGGGAGGAAGCUACUCCUCAUCCUCGUCUCUCUCGUCUACUACGGAAUCCCAUCGUUUCUUACGGUGGAACACUGCGCCGCCGCCGUCGUCCCCGCUACCUCGGACUCGGAUGCCAAGACGGGCGACGACUUAGUCGUGGCGUCAAGAUCCACCUCAAAGGACAGAGGUGAUUUGCCUUGCGAUUUCUUCCGUUCCAAAAUCGCCUCUUGAUUUCCCCCCUUUUGAUGUUUCGACGUAGAUCUACAUUGCUACCACUGCGCUGCCGCGGGACCACAAGGGGAAGGAACCGGAUGUCGUUACGGCGCAAAGGCCGAAGCGUCGCCGCAAGAGAGGGAAGAAACACAGAGUCAAGUCUGCGACGGGAAUCCCUUCUACAACCCAUGAAGAGGCUGGAACAUCCUCUACGAAAUGGUCUGAUUGUGUUACGAAGAACACUGAUGAAACAAUUGCUGGUCGAUUCUACAAAUUUCUUGAAGAGUUCAUUGAGACUGGAGAGCUCAAGCGUUUUUAUGAAGAGCAAAUAAAAAGCAUGAAGGAAAGAAAUGCAUUCGUGAUGGAUAUAUUCUACAGGCAUUUGGAAAAAAACAAAUCUCAGACUAGCUAUGACAUUGUGUAACAAUUACCGCAGGCUUGAGUCUCGUUUGAAAGAUGUGGUUGGGAAGUUUAUUAAGGUGAUUGUACCUUGUGUACAUGAUUCUUUAUGCCAGCCUUUAAUGUUGAUGUUUCAUGAAAUGCCAAGAAGGUAUUCAGUUGUUACUAUAGAUUGGAUCACCAGGCAUAAUCCUUUUUCUAUAAUAUGAUGUAAUCAAUAAUUAGUCCUGAAUAAUUCAUGUUACACAGGCACCAAAGAUUGAUUGAUAUACUGAAUGACAAUAUAUUCAUAGAGCCUGAAGAAGUAUAUGGCUGUAAUGAUCAAGUUUUUAAGCUAACGAAAGUUGGUUCUCAAUUGUGGAGGGCUGGAUUUGCUUAUAUUCUCCGUGCUCAUUUGGCUGGCAAGAGCUGGUUUGGAAAGUUUAAUCUUAAUGAUACCGAGGUGAAGAAUGGUGAUGGAUUUGUCAUUAGAAUCAAACCUUUGGAGCAUACACCCGAAGGGGGCAUUGCUGGACCUUCAGCACUUCUUCAGGCAGAUGAUCCCUCAUUUCAGCAAGAAAGGAGUUAUGCCACCUUACUUUGAGCAACUAAAAAAAUUCCUACUAGUAACCAUCUCCAACUCCAAGAAUGUGCUGGAAAAACCUUCAACCAUGAAACGGUUUCGGAAGUACCUUUUAAAUCAUUUGGCAUUUGCUGCACCUUUGAGACGUGCGCAUCUGAUUGGUGACAUUCAUAGGUGUUGCAAGAUGAUGGAUGAUGAUGAUGAGUUGAUGACAAACAUAGGGAUAUGCCAUUUAAGAAUUUGUUGCGCAGAUUCUCAAAUAGUAAUUGGCAGAAAGUUGUCACAAGAGAUGUUGAGCUGAACAAAGUCUACACUUUCAAGCCUAAACACCUUAGAGUGCAACAUUCAACACAACAAUCCAGCAGUUCUAGUAAGCAGAACUCAAAGCAAAAAGUUAGCACCUAUAAUGUACAGAAUGCUUCAGAAAAAUUGUUGUUCAAUGAGGUAGUAUUUGAUGACACACUCGAAUAAAUGGCAAUGUUCUUGAGACACUAUUUUGAGCACGCUCUUGAUAAUUCCAAGAAGAAGCCUCCCAGGCCUGCUAAGUUACUGAACUGCAACGGGGAGGAUUGCUCAACCACAGGUGAUGAGAUAAAGGGAGUUCAGCAAGCCAAAAAACUUGAUGAGUAUGAGCUGCUAACUACGAUCCGCCUCGGAACUGAAAUAGCAGAAAUGAUUUGGUAUUUAAUGUUGUAUACUGGUUUCGAAGGAAUUUUAGAGAGUGUAUGGGAAACGUACAUGUGCAUGAAUGAUGUGGAUGAUUUUGAUCUAUAAACGCAGGCGACCACCCACUGCAAUUUCCUGAGG
This is a long non-coding RNA of Panicum virgatum (switchgrass), 2099 nucleotides long. RefSeq lists it as uncharacterized. The transcript is spliced from 4 exons. Lineage: Eukaryota; Viridiplantae; Streptophyta; Magnoliopsida; Poales; Poaceae. The record is from RefSeq and is a predicted model, not a curated record.